Molecule: small nucleolar RNA, 133 nt
Filed under: Pteropus vampyrus (large flying fox)
Lineage: Eukaryota; Metazoa; Chordata; Mammalia; Chiroptera; Pteropodidae
Description: Small nucleolar RNA SNORA31 (ENSPVAG00000028924.1)
Rfam family: Small nucleolar RNA SNORA31
About the family: ACA31 (SNORA31) belongs to the H/ACA class of snoRNAs which are thought to guide the sites of modification of uridines to pseudouridines. ACA31 is predicted to guide the pseudouridylation of U3713 in 28S rRNA and U218 in 18S rRNA.
Source: Rfam by way of RNAcentral
ACGCAUCUAUUUGACAAACCUGGAGCAGUUACUGCCUGCUGCUACAGUUCCAGCAUAGAUGCAAGAAAAAAGGGUCCUUGCACUUUCUUUCUGUCUGACUAUGGCAGCCAAGAGUGAAUGCGGGAAUACAGUU